UAAGUACCAAACACCUUCCAGCAGAUGUGUAUCAGUACUUAACAUGAACUUUGGUACUUCUUGGUGGUUUAAAGCAAAAAGGAUCUUUCAUAUUAAUAAGAAGCCAAAGGGAGAAAAUAAGAGAAAUGCACCACAACUCUAAGCAAGUGAUGGGAUGAUCCUUGGUGAACAGAAGAUGAAGCAAUGGCUCCUCUAUAGUUUCCACUCGAUCCAGGCACCAAAACGUGUGCGGCUGCAUCUUGAACAAACCAGGGCCUUUCACUGCACACCUGGCAAGUGAACACUCCAAAAAUACAGUAAAUAAAAAGGUUUAGUGCUGAAGGAUUGAAGCUCUCUCCACGCUUGAAAACCGAAUGCCGUGGGACUGGGGACUAAGGCAGAUAUUUUUAGUGCCAUCAAUAUCUCCUGGAGUUGAUAUCUCCCAAGACAGAUGGUUGUUUCCCACAGAACGUUGUCAAAUGUUUGCUCAGCCAAGAUCAAUUUUGUUCCAAGUCCUUUCCCACCUUCUGGUGAAAGAUAUUUCACUUGCCAGACAAAAAAUUAAAGAAACAGCAUGAAA
Molecule: long non-coding RNA, 559 nt
Organism: Pezoporus flaviventris
Lineage: Eukaryota; Metazoa; Chordata; Aves; Psittaciformes; Psittacidae
Exons: 3
Source: RefSeq, a predicted model, not a curated record